Molecule: ribosomal RNA, 491 nt
Filed under: uncultured bacterium
Lineage: Bacteria
Description: partial 16S ribosomal RNA
Rfam family: Bacterial small subunit ribosomal RNA
Source: RNAcentral
GAUGAACGCUAGCUACAGGCUUAACACAUGCAAGUCGAGGGGAAACGACAUCGAAAGCUUGCUUUUGAUGGGCGUCGACCGGCGCACGGGUGAGUACCGCGUAUCCAACCUGCCCACCACUUGGGGAUAACCUUGCGAAAGUAAGACUAAUACCCAAUGAUAUCUCUAGAAGACAUCUGAAAGAGAUUAAAGAUUUAUCGGUGAUGGAUGGGGAUGCGUCUGAUUAGCUUGUUGGCGGGGUAACGGCCCACCAAGGCAACGAUCAGUAGGGGUUCUGAGAGGAAGGUCCCCCACAUUGGAACUGAGACACGGUCCAAACUCCUACGGGAGGCAGCAGUGAGGAAUAUUGGUCAAUGGACGAGAGUCUGAACCAGCCAAGUAGCGUGCAGGAAGACGGCCCUAUGGGUUGUAAACUGCUUUUAUAAGGGAAUAAAGUGAGUCUCGUGAGACUUUUUGCAUGUACCUUAUGAAUAAGGACCGGCUAAUUCCGU